This 1194-nucleotide long non-coding RNA is filed under the name Phasianus colchicus (ring-necked pheasant). Its description in RNAcentral is "lncRNA (ENSPCLG00000008968.1)". Lineage: Eukaryota; Metazoa; Chordata; Aves; Galliformes; Phasianidae. The record is from RNAcentral.
AUGCGUGCAUGCAGGCAUCCCCAGCCCCCACUGUGUCCUUUGCUGAGGGAAGGAGAAGAUGCCAGCCCAUCGUCACCUUUGGAAGGCCCAUGGCACUGCAGCUGCCCCAGUCCCUCUCCAUCGCUCAGAUUUUGGGAUCGGCUGGUGUCCAUCAGCUGUGUGCCGGCGCCAAGCACAGAUAAAAGUAUCUCUCCAUGCUGUUGGCACAGUUUCACGGAGCCGUGCAGAAAGCAGCGAGCAUAUGUGCAGCUCGUACUUUGCUCAGCGCUGCAGGCUCCUCUCCUGCUGCCUGGCAAUUAUUUCGCAGCUCUGCUCGCAGCCCCCUCAUCCGCCGGCUGCUUUUGUGGCAGAGGCACCUCGCUGGGGACCCGGCUUCCUUUUAUAGCCCUGAAUGCCUUUCAGAGGUCGCUCGGGGCCGUUCUCCCCACGCACCGGGCUCUUAGCAAAGGCGCAGCGGGAAAGGCCGAGGCUGUUCCCCACCGCAUUCUACAGGAGGAGAACACCCUGCUCGGAGCUGCCCGCAUCCCGGGAGCCGUGCCUGGCUGCGCUCCCAGCACCCCGGGGGGGUCAGGGCCGCAGCCCCGCACCUCGGAGGCCACGUGGGUGACGCGUGGCCGCAGGGAACGCGGUGAGAGCCUCGGCACCGCACUGAGCGUGCGGGACGGCGUGUGCGUGAGCGCUGGCAGCGCACGGCGAGGGGGGAGCCGGCAGAGAGCAGGGCGGAUGUGGGCGGCCCCGAACCUCGGCAGGGAACGCCGCGAGCACCAACCCUCCGUGGGAGGGCGGGCACCGAGGAUGCGGCACGCCGCAGCGCUGCGGGUCACCCAGGCGGAAGGCCGAGGGACGCUCCGUGCCCCGGCGGUGCCGCGCGGACACCUCGACGGCGGUCGGGCACGCGGGGCCGAACCUCGCAGCUGCGCUCCCGGGGAGGCCGCAGGGGACCGCGUCCGCGCCGCCAGGCUCCGCCGCCCCUCCCCGCAGCCGCCCCGCCCCGGCGCCUCCCGCCUCCGCGCCGCGAUUUGCCGCUGCCGGCUCCGCCCGCUCCCCGCGCGGCCGCGGCCGAGGGGCGCGUUCAAACGCGGCGAGGGAAGGAGCGGAGCCGCGCGUGGACCGCAGCGCCGCCGGCAUGGUGAGUGCGGCCCGGCCCCGCCGCCGGUGCCCGCCCCGGUGACCCCCCAGAGCCCCGGACGGUGC